GAACUCGUGGUGGCUAAUAGGAUAAACGAAUGUUCAACAUUUUCACUAUUUAACAGCAGGUUCUCAUGCGAAUUGCAUUUAAGAUGGUGGAAGCAUGGCUAUCUUCCAGGCAGUGAGAGCCUGUUGCGUGCACGCAUCAUCCGUGAGCAGUCAUUGUACGGGCUUGUGGAGUGCUCUCGCCGCUGGCUUACCCUGACUCGGCUCUUUGAUCACGAUUAAGCAAGAAGCGAGCAAGAAAUGGCAAUUCAGCGUAUUGGGAAUUUCCGUUAUACGACGAGUCUCGAUCGCUUGGAUUGCACUCUGCGGGGAUCACGUGACGAGCGUUUUCUGCGCACGCGAUCUCGGGUGGGUCUUCCUCAGACUUGUACAGUAACUUGAGUAGAGUAUUUAAGUUACAUAUAUUAAAUACCUUUGC
This is a long non-coding RNA of Ornithodoros turicata, 415 nucleotides long. RefSeq lists it as uncharacterized. NCBI's taxonomy places the organism in Eukaryota, Metazoa, Arthropoda, Arachnida, Ixodida, Argasidae. The record is from RefSeq and is a predicted model, not a curated record. The transcript has 4 exons.